Hydractinia symbiolongicarpus is the source of this 3480-nucleotide RNA transcript. RefSeq lists it as uncharacterized. Lineage: Eukaryota; Metazoa; Cnidaria; Hydrozoa; Anthoathecata; Hydractiniidae. The transcript has 4 exons. The record is from RefSeq and is a predicted model, not a curated record.
GUCGAAAGGAGUCAUGAAUAAUUGAAUGCUCACCUUCUUUUCUUCAGUUCUUAUGUUUUAUCAGUACUAGAAAAUUCUGAUCUGAGGAUUGUCUCUCAAUCAGGAAAAAUUAUACUUACUUAUCUAGGAUAUCUAUAUGAAUCUAAUCUGGGCUUUUAGGUAGCUAGCUAGCUAAAGUAAAAAGAUAGACAGUCAGAGUGACAACUGACAAAUAAGCUACGCCAGUUUAUUUAGGUCAUUUAUCUCUCAUAAUUAGGUUAUUAACAUGCUUUCAGCAGCCUCUCGCUCUUCCGUUGCAUAAUCGCAAUGGUUUUCUGUAGACAAAAACAUUAAACGCAGCUACAACUUUUAAUGACCUGUAGCUAACACAUAUAUAUAGUUAUUUGUGCUGACAGAAGAUAUAUAGCAAUCAAGCAAACUGUUUUAAUUUCAGAACGCUUGCACUAUGUAAUAGCUCCUUUCUUUUAUGAUCAUGGUUGCAUCUGGAAAAAGGAUAAAUUUUGCAGCAGGAACUUUAGCAGGCCAGAUAUGGGAUUUACGGUAUUUUAAUUCACUAUAAAGAAGAUGCUAUCCUAAUUAAUAUAUAAGCAGGUCUAUUAAUAAGUAAAAAGCAUCUACGUGAUAAAUUGUGCACCCCAAGCUUCAAUACUUUUGUUUGCAUGAGCAAUCCCAAAAUAUAAAAAUUAUAUACAAAAAAUGCCGAAAAUGCGAAGUAACAAAAUCCCUUUUCCCCCUGUACACUGCACAGGGUUACUGUUUUGGUGUCAGCAACAAAGGUAGUAUGCGUGCCAUCAAUGCAGAGUUAUUAAUUAAACUUUGUGACUACUUGUUGAACAAACAAUAUUCCACACACAAAUUGUCCACUGUCUAAACUUUGUCAUUUUGUUUCUGUUAACUGAUCAGAGUGUGAGUUGUAGAAUGCUUUUUUUGAAUCCAAAUUGAUUAUAAGAGUUGAUGUUAUAUUGAUCUAAGAUAAAACUAGGUGGUUUUUAAUUAAUAUUUGAAAGAUCUUAUUAAUAUUACUGAGUAAUAAAAUAGAUCUAUAAUUAUUCACUUCAAGUGGUGAACCUUUAUUUUUGAAAAUAAAAGUGACAUUGACAUUGUAUGUUAAUGAAAAUUGAAAUUGUAGGAAAAUCACUUUCAGUUAUUGAUUUGUUACAAAGUUUUGAUCAAAAAAGUAUUAUUAUUUUCUUUUAGUAUAAUGUAUAGUCAGAUGAGGUAAUCAUUACGCAUUUAUAUUCAUUACGCAUUUUUAAGUUUGUUAAUUUCGCAACUAAAACAAGGUUUAAAAUAAAAUUAAAGAAUGAAAAAACUAACUGAAAUGAUUCCUCCGCUAUAUUAACCAAUUAAAUUAUUCCAUACGACGACUCUUCCAGAGAAAUCUUGAUGUUUCCAACACCACUCCAAAAAAGUCCAAUAUCAACUUUCCGAAUCACUUCACUAACUUUCCUCUACCAUUUUUGUUAGCACGGUCCACUGGUAAAAAAACUGUGUUAAAUUACAGACCCGAACCUCGUCCAUUGAUUCUCGGAGGCCUUUUUAUGUAAAAAUCACGCCCGGGGCAAAAAAACGAUGCGCAAUUAUUAAAUCAAGAAAUCAUUGGGCAUAAUAUUAUCAUUACGCACAAAGCAAAGUUAGAGAGACUACUAGAAAUCUUGUUUAACGUCUUUAGUUAAGAACUUUAUGCCUUGUUAUAAUUGUCAGGAAGGGGUAAACAUUCCUUAUAUGGUAUUUUGUGAAGGUCUUUGGCGCCAAUUGGUCAAUAAUUCCUUAACAAGACAAGAUUCUAGUAACAAACUCUUUUGCAGAUCAAUUCGUACUGGGAGAAGGUAGAAUUUUGUUUUGCUAUGUUUGUUUUUAAUUUCUAAACACUUGUUUUACCAUAUUCUUGGAUGAGAGACCACAGUGAGUAUUUUUGGGAAUGUAUACUGUGUUUUAUCGUGUUUAUAGUUUGUCUAGACGGCUUAACAAUGAAAACAAAAAAACGUGUAUCAAAGAGUGGUCGAGAAAAAAGCAGGGUAGCAGAAAAGUUGCGAAGAAAGUUGUGGACGCGUGGACAGAAGAGCAACUCCAGGAAGCGCUUCAAGAGUUCGAUUCUAUGCCGAAUGCAUCAGUCAGAGGCAUAGCAAAACGUCAUGGUAUCAACGAAUCUACGCUGCGAUUUCGUUUAAAAAAACGCAAGGAAGGAGCCAAAUUAGGAAAGUCUGGUCGGAAAUGUGUUUUCGAUGCAGAAACGGAGGCCCGGCUAGCUAAGUACAUUGGUGUUGUAUGUAACCUUGGUUUUAGUCCUACGUUGGAUGAAAUUUUGGAUCUUGUUGCCGAAUACAUCAAAGUCACAGGGACGAUUUCACUCCAGUUUAAAAAUGGAAGGCCUGGUUUGGUGUGGAUAAAGAGCUUUAUGAAAAGAAACGGACUGAGUCACAAGAAGGCUGAGAUGAUUAGUACUGCCCGUAAAGCAAACACAUCCAAUCCAUUUAUAAUUUUUGAUUUCUACGAUCAAUUGGAACAGAUCUUCGAGAAAUACCCUAAUCUGGAUGCACAACGGAUCUGGAACUGGGACGAAAGUUCUUUCCCAACUGAUCCAUCAAAAGGGAAAGUUGUCUCCGUGAAGGGACAGCGUGCCCUUAAAUUACGGUAUGGCGCUGGGAGAGAAAACAUCACUGUACUCGGUGUUUGUAAUGCAGCUGGAGUGGCACUUGACCCUCUUAUUAUAUUCACUGGAAAAAAUAUGCAAAGUACGUGGUACGGGGACAAGGCUCUACCCAACACGUUUUACGCCAAGUCUGAAAACGGUUGGAUGGACACGGAAGUUUUUUCCACGUGGUUCGCCAAAUUCACUGAGGACGUAACAGAAAGACCAUUGUUACUGGUGUUUUGCCCAUCGCACCUUACCCAUAUCAGCAUAUCUGUCAUUAAAAAAGCAUUGGAAGACGAUAUAAUUAUAAUGAAAUUCCCUCCACAUGUUACGGAUGUCAUGCAACCCCUAGAUGUUGCAUGUUUUGGACCCUUAAAACGUGCUUGGGAGAAGCGCCUCCAUUUACGCGUGACAACACAUGGUGCUAAAAGCCAAUUGACAAAGUCUGAGUUUGUCAAUGAACUCUGUUCCAUUUGGAAAGAUGGCAUGAAAAAAGAAAGCGUUAUCAAUGGAUUUAGGAGUACUGGAAUAUGGCCAAUUGACAAAGCAUGUAUCCAAAGGAACGCUUGGACCCAAGAUUGUUAGCGAAAUAUUAUACGUGGAAACAAAGUGGUAAAGCUCUUGAUUGGUCUAAAUUGUCAGACGGACAAAUCGAUGAAGCUGCGGGUCUUGCGCAAAAUCAAGUCUCGACAUCAUUACCACUGCCCGAAUUGCAAAACUAAGCAGAAUCUCCUUUAUCAAUAUCUAAUACCACACCUACAACCACCCCUAAUGUAAAUAUAACUCCAUCAUCUCUGCCAGGCGGAAGUCGUGAUGAAACUAAUUAGAUAAAUAUCUUGUUAAAG